GACGAACGCUGGCGGCGUGCCUAAUACAUGCAAGUAGGACGCACAGUUUAUACCGUAGCUUGCUACACCAUAGACUGUGAGUUGCGAACGGGUGAGUAACGCGUAGGUAACCUGCCUAUUAGAGGGGGAUAACUAUUGGAAACGAUAGCUAAUACCGCAUAACAGUAUGUAACACAUGUUAGAUGCUUGAAAGAUGCAAUUGCAUCGCUAGUAGAUGGACCUGCGUUGUAUUAGCUAGUAGGUAGGGUAAUGGCCUACCUAGGCGACGAUACAUAGCCGACCUGAGAGGGUGAUCGGCCACACUGGGACUGAGACACGGCCCAGACUCCUACGGGAGGCAGCAGUAGGGAAUCUUCGGCAAUGGGGGGAACCCUGACCGAGCAACGCCGCGUGAGUGAAGAAGGUUUUCGGAUCGUAAAGCUCUGUUGUUAAGGAAGAACGAGUGUGAGAAUGGAAAGUUCAUACUGUGACGCUACUAACCAGAAAGGACG
Molecule: ribosomal RNA, 491 nt
Filed under: Streptococcus anginosus
Lineage: Bacteria; Bacillati; Bacillota; Bacilli; Lactobacillales; Streptococcaceae
Description: bacterial SSU rRNA
Rfam family: Bacterial small subunit ribosomal RNA
Source: RNAcentral